RNAcentral lists this ribosomal RNA (487 nucleotides) under uncultured bacterium. Its description in RNAcentral is "bacterial SSU rRNA". It matches the Rfam family "Bacterial small subunit ribosomal RNA", at positions 355 to 859 of the family's 1533-position model. The record is from RNAcentral.
UGGGGAAUCUUGCACAAUGGGCGAAAGCCUGAUGCAGCAACGCCGCGUGCGGGAAGACAGCCCUAGGGUUGUAAACCGCUUUCAGCAGGGAAGAAACUGACGGUACCUGCAGAAGAAGAUGCGGCCAACUACGUGCCAGCAGCCGCGGUGACACGUAGGCAUCAAGCGUUAUCCGGAUUUAUUGGGCGUAAAGAGCUCGUAGGCGGUUCGGUAAGUCGGGUGUGAAAACUCUGGGCUCAACCCAGAGAGGCCACUCGAUACUGCUGUGACUAGAGUGCGGUAGGGGAGCGGGGAAUUCCUGGUGUAGCGGUGAAAUGCGCAGAUAUCAGGAGGAACACCAGUGGCGAAGGCGCCGCUCUGGGCCGUAACUGACGCUGAGGAGCGAAAGCAUGGGUAGCAAACAGGAUUAGAUACCCUGGUAGUCCACGCCGUAAACGAUGAGUGCUAGUCGUCGGCAGGCAUGCCUGUCGGUGACGCAGCUAACGCA